RNAcentral lists this ribosomal RNA (522 nucleotides) under uncultured bacterium. Its description in RNAcentral is "bacterial SSU rRNA". It matches the Rfam family "Bacterial small subunit ribosomal RNA", at positions 33 to 541 of the family's 1533-position model. The record is from RNAcentral.
UUGAACGCUGGCGGCAGGCCUAACACAUGCAAGUCGAGCGGUAACAGGGGAAGCUUGCUUCCCGCUGACGAGCGGCGGACGGGUGAGUAAUGUAUGGGGAUCUGCCCGAUAGAGGGGGAUAACUACUGGAAACGGUGGCUAAUACCGCAUAAUCUCUAAGGAGCAAAGCAGGGGAACUUCGGUCCUUGCGCUAUCGGAUGAACCCAUAUGGGAUUAGCUAGUAGGUGGGGUAAUGGCUCACCUAGGCGACGAUCCCUAGCUGGUCUGAGAGGAUGAUCAGCCACACUGGGACUGAGACACGGCCCAGACUCCUACGGGAGGCAGCAGUGGGGAAUAUUGCACAAUGGGCGCAAGCCUGAUGCAGCCAUGCCGCGUGUAUGAAGAAGGCCCUAGGGUUGUAAAGUACUUUCAGUCGGGAGGAAGGCGUUGAUGCUAAUAUCAUCAACGAUUGACGUUACCGACAGAAGAAGCACCGGCUAACUCCGUGCCAGCAGCCGCGGUAAUACGGAGGGUGCAAGCGUA